Macaca fascicularis (crab-eating macaque) is the source of this 99-nucleotide small nucleolar RNA. NCBI's taxonomy places the organism in Eukaryota, Metazoa, Chordata, Mammalia, Primates, Cercopithecidae. The record is from Ensembl.
AUCCUUUUGUAGUUCCUAAGUGUGAAGAAUGCGUGUUCAUGCACAGGGGUGAGAUGUGCUACCCUCAAACAUUGUUCCAUGCACAUGACCUGUCUGACA